This is a long non-coding RNA of Oncorhynchus gorbuscha (pink salmon), 449 nucleotides long. RefSeq lists it as uncharacterized. Lineage: Eukaryota; Metazoa; Chordata; Actinopteri; Salmoniformes; Salmonidae. The transcript is spliced from 3 exons. The record is from RefSeq and is a predicted model, not a curated record.
UACAUUGUCAGUCAUUUGAUCUUGACGCAAACGUGUCACAGCAAUUGGUGAAGUGGUUUUGUUGAUGUUUUUGUUAAUGUUUAUCUCAACAGCAGAUGGUGAAGAUGCACCACGUGAGUAGGGGUGAGAGGCCUGGACACUCAACUGGUGUGGGCCAUCUCCAAGGAGACAGCCAGGCUUAGUCCAGAGGGCAUGCCCUUACUAUGCCACCAAAGUGCAGUCCAUCACUUGGAUCCAGCGUGUGGCUGACAGGGUGACCAACUAUGCAUCUCUCCUCCGCCACGAGACGUCUGUGGAUGUGACGCUUGGCUGCUACCAGGUGUGUUGUGAGCAGCAGACUGAUGUCUCAGUGGUGUGCGCCACUCUCCACAUGGGGCUGGAUGGGCUUUUCACCUCUUCAGCGUGGUCGGAGGCUGCCUCCUUCUCUACGCUCACCACUCAGCAGUUCA